CAUUACAAUCGGAAAUGUUCCGGUCAAUUGAAAGAACGCAUAUUACAUCAUUUUAAAAGGUACAAAUGAAACAAUGAAAAACAUUGAAUUGUAUUAAAAUGAGUUAUGUUCUUAUCGUGCGCUUACCAUGGUUGUAACGGGUAACGAAGAAUCAGGGUUCGAUUUCGGAGAGGGAGCCUGAGAAACGGCUACCUCAUGCAAGGAAGGCAG
This is a ribosomal RNA of Oryctes borbonicus, 210 nucleotides long. It matches the Rfam family "Eukaryotic small subunit ribosomal RNA", at positions 54 to 428 of the family's 1831-position model. Lineage: Eukaryota; Metazoa; Arthropoda; Insecta; Coleoptera; Scarabaeidae. The record is from Rfam.